GAUGAAGAACGCAGCGAAAUGCGAUACGUAAUGUGAAUUGCAGAAUUCAGUGAAUCAUCGAAUCUUUGAACGCAUAUUGCGCUCUCUGGUAUUCCGGAGAGCAUGCUUGUUUGAGUAUCAGUAAACACCUCAACUUCCAUAUCUUUUUUGAAAUGGGAGUUGGACUUGAGUGAUCCCAACGCUUUUCCUCACCGAAAAGUGGCGGGUUACUUGAAAUGCAGGUGCAGCUGGACUUUUCUCUGAGCUAUAAGCAUAUCUAUUUAGUCUGCCUAAAAACAGAUUAUUACCUUUGCUGCAGCUAACAUAAAGGAGAUUAGUUCUUGUGCUGACUGAUGCAGGAUUCACAAAGACAGGCUUCGGCCGACUUUGUAAACUCGAUCUCAAAUCAAGUAAGACUACCCGCUGAACUUAAGCAUAUCAUAAGCGGAGGA
This 431-nucleotide unclassified non-coding RNA is filed under the name soil metagenome. RNAcentral's name for it is "partial contains 5.8S ribosomal RNA, internal transcribed spacer 2, and large subunit ribosomal RNA". The stretch from base 1 to 120 matches the Rfam family "5.8S ribosomal RNA", at positions 35 to 154 of the family's 154-position model. The record is from RNAcentral.